GAUGACAGAAAAUUGCGUGACAUGUUAAUAUCUCUAUGUGUCGACGAAAGCUGGUCGGCAGUCUACCUUGGGGUAUACCCACGGUAGUAGUUUAUCGGCAGACGGUGCGCAAACUACGAACUCGAUGGUGACGCAAGACACGGACAAGCUUUUUAUCCAGGUUCGGCCGCCGAGUUGGCGUAAUACCUACGUCCUGCGUCUUGUUGUAUUGAUUUGUGUUGAGAGAAUAAUGUAUGAUCUGUCCUCUAGGGGACCCCUGCCCCUCCUUAUAUAUCCUGAAGGGACAGAGUUACAAGAAAAGUAUCCUAUUUGGUACAAUAUCUUGUAGCCUUGCGGUGCACGCCGAUAUCCUCUGUCUAGCUGGAUCGUGUGGUAGGCCACGUAGGUGACAGUUACGUUGGUCCCCUGUAGUCCACCUCUUGUUAGCAGAACGGGUAGGGUUUAUUGGCCUAUGGAUAAGCAUCCUUUGUGGUGUAUUCUUAUCACGUGGUUCGUCCCAGACAUAGACAUACCCCUUUGAAGUAGAGAAACCAUAGUUAUCCUCUAUAUUCUCCUACCAUCGCCCAUAUACUAGAAUUGCUCUAUUCUCUAUUCCCAUAUUAUCACUCACUGUUAUCUUACCUUUAAUAUUGUUCUUAUUCGAUUCUACUAUCUUUCCUAUUUACACUUAUUUACUUAUCUUGGUUAAGUUAGAACGUAGAUCAGUUCUCCCGUUUCCCUGUGGAUACGAUAAAACCUUUAACUGGGUAAAAGCUUCAACGGUAUCCGUGCGCUUGCGGAUUAUCUGUGUGCGUAUAAAUACCAUAGUACACUCUAGUGCCAUGCUGGGGAUGACAACCUAGUAUUCAAGUGGUGUUAGCAAGUGUCAACAAAGACGUAGAGUUUAAACAGAACUAUCCUGAGGAGACCAUAGCACCGAGUUAGGUACGGAAAGAGAAGACAACUAUACAUGAAGAAGAGGCGCCGCCGGAAGUACCGACUACGUCACCCAACGAAUCCCAAGACAAUUGAGAAAAUGGAGAGUCCCGUUCGGAGGACUUAAAAACAUCGAACGCCUUGCCAAGAGGUAAACUCGGUAGUUAUCCUUUUCCCUUUUCAAUUAUUUUAAACAGUUUACUUAGUUAAUCAUGUUCGUACUAUCCUAAAAAGAAAAUAAAAAUGUGAAAAACAGUAAAGCCCCAUGUGAGUAUACAAGUGGCAUAAAACCCAUAAGUACAUUCACCGUGGUGGCAUAAAAAUAAAAUAAAAAUAUUUUUCUGCUCUAUAAAAUAAAAAUAUAAAAACAUGGAGUAAUAAUUAUUAAAGAGUCUCAACAUGAUAAAGGCUAGAUAUUUAUGCUAACACUUAAUCAGUUCCACAAGCUUUGUUGUCUAUUUGAGCUCCACAGAAUUUAAGAAUCAAGAAGACUAGCAGACGGAGGACAUUCUAAUCGCUGUCAGAAUGCUGCUGACUUUCAAAUACACCUCUGCCACCUGCUAGCUACAUCAAGAGAAAUUACGUCAAAAUUCAGCUUGGGGGAGAGCACCCCCAUUUAUCUUGAUAAGUAUUUCUAUCUAUCUAUUUAUCUUUAUACUUAUACUAUAUUAAAAUAUAACUAU
This 1598-nucleotide long non-coding RNA is filed under the name Sorghum bicolor (sorghum). RNAcentral's name for it is "long non-coding RNA (SBIC_LNC000784)". The record is from RNAcentral. Lineage: Eukaryota; Viridiplantae; Streptophyta; Magnoliopsida; Poales; Poaceae.